This is a non-coding RNA of Paramuricea clavata, 461 nucleotides long. The record is from the annotation of a GenBank genome assembly. Lineage: Eukaryota; Metazoa; Cnidaria; Anthozoa; Malacalcyonacea; Plexauridae.
UGACAUUGGAACAACACAUGCCAACAAAAGCCAUCUAAAAAAGAAAAUUGCCUGGCAAGGGAAAUAAAUUGAAAAUUUUGUGAUUUUCGUACUGGUCUCGUGUAAACAUGUUAACAAUUUCAAUUUUCAUUCCGGUUUGAUUUCGUCCCGGUCUCAUGUCAACGGGGCCUUACACAACAAUAAAUUCAGUGACAUGUCACGAAGCAGACAAAACAUUUUGCGGUUUUGAAUAGAUACAUAUGUUCAUUGUUUAUCAGUUUCAACGGCGGUCUACUCGUAAUUGGCGGUUAGGCGCCAUUUUGGCACUUGUAUAAUGCCUUAUAGAAUUAGAAAAUAAUAGACACAUGCAGGGUGUCCCCCCAAAAAAACCCAAUUGAAAUAAACGUAUUGUUAGAAUUUGAAUGCCCAACAUGAGCUCCACCUUUGAAUUUACUAUAGGAGUAAAUUCUUAAGCAUGCACG